AUAGGGCGAAUUGGAGCUCCACCGGCGGUGCGGCCGCUCUAGAACAGUGGAUCCCCCGGGAAGAGUUAUCUUUUCUCCUUAAACAGUCUAUAACCCUGAAAUCAGUUUGUCUGGAGCUAGGGUUCAUGCUGGUAGAGCACAACUCCUCUGUUGUGUCCGGUGCGUUCUCAACAGUCCGUGAAAAUCCAACCCAAUGAAUAAUUUUCACACCUGGUCGUACUCAUAACCGCAGCACCUCUCCAAGGUGAACAGCCUCUAGUUGAUAGAACAAUGUAGAUAAGGGAAGUC
Molecule: ribosomal RNA, 288 nt
Filed under: Pleurotus ostreatus (oyster mushroom)
Lineage: Eukaryota; Fungi; Basidiomycota; Agaricomycetes; Agaricales; Pleurotaceae
Description: partial 25S ribosomal RNA
Rfam family: Eukaryotic large subunit ribosomal RNA
Source: RNAcentral